Molecule: ribosomal RNA, 370 nt
Filed under: uncultured bacterium
Lineage: Bacteria
Description: bacterial SSU rRNA
Rfam family: Bacterial small subunit ribosomal RNA
Source: RNAcentral
UAACGUAGACGAAAGUUACGCUAAUACCGCAUACGAUCUAAGGAUGAAAGCGGGGGAUCGCAAGACCUCGCGCGAUUGGAGCGGCCGAUAUCAGAUUAGGUAGUUGGUGAGGUAAAGGCUCACCAAGCCGACGAUCUGUAGCUGGUCUGAGAGGACGACCAGCCACACUGGGACUGAGACACGGCCCAGACUCCUACGGGAGGCAGCAGGUGGGGAAUUUUGGACAAUGGGCGCAAGCCUGAUCCAGCAAUGCCGCGUGCAGGAUGAAGGCCUUCGGGUUGUAAACUGCUUUUGUACGGAACGAAAAGGUUUGUCUUAAUACGAUGAGCUCAUGACGGUACCGUAAGAAUAAGCACCGGCUAACUACGUG